UACGUAGGUGGCAAGCGUUGUCCGGAAUUAUUGGGCGUAAAGCGCGCGUAGGCGGUCCUUUAAGUCUGAUGUGAAAGCCCACGGCUCAACCGUGGAGGGUCAUUGGAAACUGGGGGACUUGAGUACAGAAGAGGAAAGCGGAAUUCCACGUGUAGCGGUGAAAUGCGUAGAGAUGUGGAGGAACACCAGUGGCGAAGGCGGCUUUCUGGUCUGUAACUGACGCUGAGGCGCGAAAGCGUGGGGAGCAAACAGG
RNAcentral lists this ribosomal RNA (253 nucleotides) under uncultured bacterium. Its description in RNAcentral is "partial 16S ribosomal RNA". It matches the Rfam family "Bacterial small subunit ribosomal RNA", at positions 524 to 776 of the family's 1533-position model. The record is from RNAcentral.